RNAcentral lists this ribosomal RNA (497 nucleotides) under uncultured bacterium. RNAcentral's name for it is "partial 16S ribosomal RNA". It matches the Rfam family "Bacterial small subunit ribosomal RNA", at positions 28 to 507 of the family's 1533-position model. The record is from RNAcentral.
GAUGAACGCUGGCGGCGUGCCUAAUACAUGCAAGUCGAGCGAACAGACGAGGAGCUUGCUCCUCUGACGUUAGCGGCGGACGGGUGAGUAACACGUGGAUAACCUACCUAUAAGACUGGGAUAACUUCGGGAAACCGGAGCUAAUACCGGAUAAUAUAUUGAACCGCAUGGUUCAAUAGUGAAAGACGGUUUUGCUGUCACUUAUAGAUGGAUCCGCGCCGCAUUAGCUAGUUGGUAAGGUAACGGCUUACCAAGGCGACGAUGCGUAGCCGACCUGAGAGGGUGUUCGGCCACACUGGAACUGAGACACGGUCCAGACUCCUACGGGAGGCAGCAGUAGGGAAUCUUCCGCAAUGGGCGAAAGCCUGACGGAGCAACGCCGCGUGAGUGAUGAAGGUCUUCGGAUCGUAAAACUCUGUUAUUGGGGAAGAACAAAUGUGUAAGUAACUAUGCACGUCUUGACGGUACCUAAUCAGAAAGCCACGGCUAACUACGUG